ACUCCUACGGGAGGCAGCAGUGGGGAAUAUUGCACAAUGGGGCGCAAGCCUGAUGCAGCCAUGCCGCGUGUAUGAAGAAGGCCUUCGGGUUGUAAAGUACUUUCAGCAGUGAGGAAGGUGGAGUCGUUAAUAGUCGGCCCCAUUUGACGUUAGCUGCAGAAGAAGCACCGGCUAACUCCGUGCCAGCAGCCGCGGUAAUACGGAGGGUGCGAGCGUUAAUCGGAAUUACUGGGCGUAAAGCGCAUGCAGGUGGUUUGUUAAGUCAGAUGUGAAAGCCCGGGGCUCAACCUCGGAAUUGCAUUUGAAACUGGCAGACUAGGAGUACUGUAGAGGGGGGUAGAAUUUCAGGUGUAGCGGUGAAAUGCGUAGAGAUCUGAAGGAAUACCGGUGGUGAA
RNAcentral lists this ribosomal RNA (395 nucleotides) under uncultured bacterium. Its description in RNAcentral is "bacterial SSU rRNA". It matches the Rfam family "Bacterial small subunit ribosomal RNA", at positions 335 to 719 of the family's 1533-position model. The record is from RNAcentral.